GACGAACGCUGGCGGCGUGGAUUAGGCAUGCAAGUCGAACGGUAUCAUCCUUUCGGGGGUGAGAGAGUGGCGAACUGGUGAGUAACACGUAGGUUAUCUACCCUCAAGACGGGGACAACCCAGGGAAACUUGGGCUAAUACCGGAUGUGAGCAACUUUUAGUUGUUUGAAAGGUGGCGUAAGCUGUCGCUUGGGGAUGAGCCUGCGUCCUAUUAGUUAGUUGGUGAGGUAACGGCUCACCUAGGCAAUGAUAGGUAGGCGGCCUUAACGGGUGGUCGCCCACACUGGGAUUGAGAUACGGCCCAGACUCCUACGGGAGGCAGCAGUCGAGAAUAGUCUACAAUGGUCGGAAGACUGAUAGUGCGACGCCGCGUGAACGAUGAAUCCCUUCGGGGUGUAAAGUUCUUUUAUAUGUGAGCAGUGCUUCUUAUAUUAACAGUAUGGGGAGAGAGAUAUUAGCAUAUGAAUAAGCAACGGCUUAAACUCCGUGCCAGCACGCCGCGGUAAUA
Molecule: ribosomal RNA, 508 nt
Filed under: uncultured bacterium
Lineage: Bacteria
Description: bacterial SSU rRNA
Rfam family: Bacterial small subunit ribosomal RNA
Source: RNAcentral